Long non-coding RNA from Balaenoptera musculus (blue whale), 757 nucleotides. RefSeq lists it as uncharacterized. The record is from RefSeq and is a predicted model, not a curated record. The transcript is spliced from 5 exons. Lineage: Eukaryota; Metazoa; Chordata; Mammalia; Artiodactyla; Balaenopteridae.
AAUGGGGAGGGGUGUAUUAGAUAAUGAGGACUUCCAAAAAGCUAACUCCUGCUCCGGGAUCAAAAUGCACCUGAAAGGUGGGAAGAGGUCGAGCCCCGGGUUCUCGCCGCAGAUGAUGAAAUUCACCUGAGACCACAUAGCCAGAGAAGGCCAAACUGAGUUUUGAAUCUAGGCAAUCUUGACCCCAGAGCCUUCCGGCCUAAAGCGUUUGACUCUGUGACGUCCCCCCCUAAUCCAUGAUGGCCUCAGAGAAACUCCAUUUUGAACUCGAAGAGAAUCUCUCGGCCUGCUUGUGGAGAGGAAGAGGAGAAAGUGAGAGAGGGAAAACAAGUGAGAAUGAGAGAUGGAGACAGAUGUGGUGUCUGGAGAUGCAGCAUCCAUUUUGCAAAAAUGUGGCAGUAAGCAUGAGGGAAAGGUCAAGAAAAUCAGAGACAUUGCCAUGACAUCAACAGGCUGCUGAACCAAAGUCAGCACCUAUUUGCCUCCAGAUAUAUUCUUCUGUGACAAAAUAAACCCUUCUUGGUUUAAUUUACUAUACAGAGAAACAGAACUAAUAAGAUGUGUCUAUAUAUACAAAGAGAUUUAUUUUAAGGAAUUGGUUCACAUGAUUUAUAGGGUUGGCAAGUCCAAAACUGCAGGGUGGGCCAGUGACUGAAGACCCAAGGAAAAGUUGAUGCUGCAGUUCAAGUCCAAAGGCCAUUUGCUGACAGAUGCUUGGGGGAGGUCAGUCUUUGUUCUAUUAAAGCCUUCAAUUGAU